AUGGAGGGUAAACAACAAUGGGACAUGGUGGACCCUGGAUUCAAGCUUUGCGCUCCAGUUCUGAAGAGAGCAGCAGGUAGACCAAGGAAGAGUCGAAUCAGACCUCGCAGCGAAGGAGCUGGACUUGGAGCGAGGAAGCGUAAGUGCACAAGGUGUGGUGGGUCUGGUCAUUUUGGUAAGUAUUGUGAUAACACGGUAGAUCCAGCGUUCGGAGAGAGUUUCGAUGAAGGCUUCAAUGAAAAUGUUGGUCAGCAGCCGGUUGCCUCAAUAGAUGAUGAAAAUGAUGGUCAACAGCCGGUAGCAUCAUAUGAGAAUUUUGACAAGGUUCCAACUGAUGAUGGUCAACAGCCGCAUGAUUUUGACGAUGAUCCAAAAUAUCCUCCAAAUAAUGAUUCAAGUGAGGCUUCAAAUGGUGAUCCAAGUGAGGCUCCAAAUAGGGAUCAUGGUGAUCCAAGUGAGGCUCCAAAUGGUGAUCAUGGUGAUCCAAGUGAGGCUCCAAAUGAUGAUCCAAGUGAGGCUCCAAAUGGUGGCCAACCUUCUGUUGUUGUGAGUUCUGCUAGGUAUGUAAAUCUUGCAAGGGUCAAAUACUACUGUACAUUUAUCACUUGA
This 609-nucleotide ribosomal RNA is filed under the name Triticum aestivum (bread wheat). Its description in RNAcentral is "partial small subunit ribosomal RNA". The record is from RNAcentral. Lineage: Eukaryota; Viridiplantae; Streptophyta; Magnoliopsida; Poales; Poaceae.